UGAGGAGUACUAUCCAAAAGCCCUCGUCGGUCGACUCUAGCCCAGAUUUAUUUCAUGGAAUUGGAGCAUCACUCGUUGUUUAACCAUCAGAACAUAUCAUAGCGUAUGCAUUAUGCAUAGGCAUCAAUGGAUCCAUGCAAAGGAAUGCCCACAAUAAGAGUUUGUCAAUAUAAAUGGUAGUUGGAAAGGUAUGGUGUCUGGUGAAGUGUAUUUAAAUAUAAGAUGAAAGAAUCCGGAAGAAAACAUUCCAAUCCGGUUAAGGGCAAGGGACCAGCAGCCGAAGAAAGGGUCUACAUCCUUGAACUUGUAAUGUCACCUAGACCAACCUUUACGUUUAUAUGAAGUGGGUCAUUUGCCUUGUAAUAGGCAGGCACUAUAGCCGGCGGAUGGAUGAGGUUGCACGGAGACACAGAAAGUAAUAUGCAGUUACGCUGUAUAGAUUUUAGUAUUUCAUGGCACUUAUAGUAGUUAUAGUACUGCGAUGCAUUCUGUCUGGCUAAGGGACCAAAAUUUGACAAGUCUACCGUUGGUAGUCUUGUCUAUCCAAACAACCAAGUAAACCUAAACCUUGUGCCCUUAUCGUAAAAUCAUGAGAUCACGAAAGAAAACCAUGAAUCCAGUUUUAGAAAUUUAUGCGUGCACAUUCCGAACAACAUCAGCGUGUCUCGCCCUUAAAUUUAUACUUACAAGUUUUAUUAUCAACAUUAAAGCUAGAAAAAUUAUUUUAAAGUAUCAAAGGAUAUAAUGAUGUUUAGAAUAAAAAAUCAUCAUACAUUUUCAAAGGGUAUAAUGUGA
Long non-coding RNA from Folsomia candida, 795 nucleotides. RefSeq lists it as uncharacterized. The transcript is spliced from 2 exons. Lineage: Eukaryota; Metazoa; Arthropoda; Collembola; Entomobryomorpha; Isotomidae. The record is from RefSeq and is a predicted model, not a curated record.